AUGGCUCAGGAUGAAACGCUAGCGACAGGGCCUAACACAUGGCAAGUCAGGGGCAGCGCGGGAGAAGCUUGCUUUCCUGGCGGCGACCGGCGCACGGGUGCGUAACAGGUGUGCAAGUCUGUCCAGUAUCGGGGGAUAGCCCAGCGAAAGCUGAAUUAACACUCCAAUGUGAAUCGAAGCCGCAUGACUUUUGAUUUGAAACGCAAGGACUAUGGGUGAGCACGCUUCUGAUUAGCUAGUUGGUGGGGUAACGGCUCACCAAGGCGACGAUCAGUAGGGGUUCUGAGAGGAAGGUCCCCCACAUUGGAACUGAGACACGGUCCAAACUCCUACGGGAGGCAGCAGUGAGGAAUAUUGGUCAAUGGGCGAGAGCCUGAACCAGCCAAGUCGCGUGAAAGGAUGAAGGUUCUAUGGAUUGUAAACUUCUUUUGUCCGAGGGUAAAAAAGGCCACGUGUGGCUUCUUGCAAGUAUCGGACGAAUAAGCAUCGGCUAACUCCGUGCCAGCCGCAGC
This 512-nucleotide ribosomal RNA is filed under the name uncultured bacterium. RNAcentral's name for it is "bacterial SSU rRNA". It matches the Rfam family "Bacterial small subunit ribosomal RNA", at positions 19 to 518 of the family's 1533-position model. The record is from RNAcentral.